UCUCGUGCUUGGCAUUGGUUCUUCCUGGGAUCACCAAAGUGCUCUCUCCCCUUCUUAAAUGUUUUGGCACAUCAUUUUUUCGCUUAUGUGGCAUGCUUAGCACCUGUUCACGGUGGAGCACUGAGAAGGGCCUUAUACACCGCAAUACGGGAUGGACCCCCCACGUUGCUGUCUCAUUCCUUCUUUCCCACAUCGAGCCCCACCCCCCUCUCUCUCGUUUCCAUGGCGGUCGCUGGUCACCACUGGCUAUGGCCGCUAGAUCUACCUUCUCCACCAACGUUCGACACCGGAUCCGGCUUCCGCGAUCGGCACCUACCACUUUGGGACACAAACAAGACCGGUGGUGGCGCGACUGUACCACGAGGUCGGAUCCAUUGACGUCGGCGUCGGGGAGACCUGCUCCGGCAAGGUUCCUCGAUCCCGCCCACCACAAGCCCGUCCAUCGACAGCCGUUCUCGCCGUUGGUGGCUCCGUGCAGCACGGGCACCACGACAGCGCACCGCACAGAGUUGUCGUCGGAUCUGGCGACUCCAAGUUUGACCGCCAUUGGAUCUGAUCAUCGGCCUCCUGCCUCUUCAGUUUCAGAUAUUUGAAUGUUUGUGACAGAGGGCAUGUGUUACUCUUUUCUGAAAGAGAACCAAGAGUGAAUCUAUUUUAAACAAGUUACGUGUGGAGUUGAGUUCUGCAAUAUAUGUGAAAUUUAUAUUUCAAUCUGUAACUUGUUAUUUCAGUGAGACAUGUAUUGAAAUAGAUGUUUCAAUAUAAAUUGAGAUAGUUUGUGCCA
Molecule: long non-coding RNA, 784 nt
Organism: Triticum dicoccoides
Lineage: Eukaryota; Viridiplantae; Streptophyta; Magnoliopsida; Poales; Poaceae
Exons: 2
Source: RefSeq, a predicted model, not a curated record